ACGAACGCUGGCGGCGUGCCUAAUACAUGCAAGUAGAACGCUGAAGAGAGGAGCUUGCUCUUCUUGGAUGAGUUGCGAACGGGUGAGUAACGCGUAGGUAACCUGCCUUGUAGCGGGGGAUAACUAUUGGAAACGAUAGCUAAUACCGCAUAACAAUGGAUGACACAUGUCAUUUAUUUGAAAGGGGCGAUUGCUCCACUACAAGAUGGACCUGCGUUGUAUUAGCUAGUAGGUGAGGUAACGGCUCACCUAGGCGACGAUACAUAGCCGACCUGAGAGGGUGAUCGGCCACACUGGGACUGAGACACGGCCCAGACUCCUACGGGAGGCAGCAGUAGGGAAUCUUCGGCAAUGGGGGCAACCCUGACCGAGCAACGCCGCGUGAGUGAAGAAGGUUUUCGGAUCGUAAAGCUCUGUUGUAAGUCAAGAACGAGUGUGAGAGUGGAAAGUUCACACUGUGACGGUAGCUUACCAGAAAGGGACGGCUAACUACGUGCCAGCAGCCGCGGUAAUACGUAGGUCCCGA
This 526-nucleotide ribosomal RNA is filed under the name uncultured Streptococcus sp. RNAcentral's name for it is "bacterial SSU rRNA". It matches the Rfam family "Bacterial small subunit ribosomal RNA", at positions 29 to 537 of the family's 1533-position model. Lineage: Bacteria; Bacillati; Bacillota; Bacilli; Lactobacillales; Streptococcaceae. The record is from RNAcentral.